UACGAAGGUCCCAAGCGUUGUUCGGAAUCACUGGGCGUAAAGGGUGCGUAGGCCGCGCGGAAAGUCAGAUGUGAAAGCCCCGGGCUCAACCCGGGAACCGCAUCCGAUACUCCCGCGCUAGAGGACUGGAGAGGAGUCUGGAAUUCACGGUGUAGCAGUGAAAUGCGUGGAUAUCGUGAGGAACACUCGUGGCGAAGGCGAGACUCUGGACAGUUCCUGACGCUGAGGCACGAAGGCCGGGGGAGCAAACAGG
Molecule: ribosomal RNA, 253 nt
Filed under: uncultured bacterium
Lineage: Bacteria
Description: partial 16S ribosomal RNA
Rfam family: Bacterial small subunit ribosomal RNA
Source: RNAcentral